This is a long non-coding RNA of Entelurus aequoreus (snake pipefish), 419 nucleotides long. RefSeq lists it as uncharacterized. The transcript is spliced from 3 exons. The record is from RefSeq and is a predicted model, not a curated record. NCBI's taxonomy places the organism in Eukaryota, Metazoa, Chordata, Actinopteri, Syngnathiformes, Syngnathidae.
CACCUGUAGACUGACCCCUCCACCACGGGAUCGAUGUCAAUGUUCUUAAGGGAAAAAACCCUCAAGGAUUAUGGUCAUUCUUCAUCGAAAAUGGGAAUAUAUGAACAUCCUAGCAGUCGGCAUCCUACAGCAGCCCUUAUACAGUGCAUGUCUUUGGAGGUGGGAGGAAGCCGGAGUACCCGGAGGGAACCCACGCAGUCACGGGGAGAACAUGCAAACUCCACACAGAAAGAUCCCGAGGCCAGGAUUGAACUCACGACUACUCAGGACCUUCGUAUUGUGAGGCAGACGCACUAACCCUUCUGCCACCGUGCUGCCCAUGUUUAAACAUUUUUAUUUUAUUACUUAUUUUGUUUACCACUACAAUCAUUAUCCUUGUAGAGAAAAAACUAAAAAACAUUGCUUGGCCAUUUAGUAGA